This 489-nucleotide ribosomal RNA is filed under the name uncultured bacterium. Its description in RNAcentral is "bacterial SSU rRNA". It matches the Rfam family "Bacterial small subunit ribosomal RNA", at positions 29 to 504 of the family's 1533-position model. The record is from RNAcentral.
AGUGAACGCUGGCGGCAGGCCUAAUACAUGCAAGUCGAACGGCAGCACAGCAGAGCUUGCUCUGUGGGUGGCGAGUGGCGGACGGGUGAGGAAUACAUGGGAAUCUGCCCAGUCGUGGGGGAUAACGUAUGGAAACAUACGCUAAUACCGGCAUGCGCCCUACGGGGGAAAGUCGGGGACCGCAAGGCCUGACGCGAUUGGAUGAGCCCAUGUUCGAUUAGCUAGUUGGCGGGGUAAAGGCCCACCAAGGCGACGAUCGAUAGCUGGUCUGAGAGGAUGAUCAGCCACACUGGAACUGAGACACGGUCCAGGACUCCUACGGGAGGCAGCAGUAGGGAAUAUUGGACAAUGGGGGCAACCCUGAUCCAGCCAUGCCGCGUGAGUGAAGAAGGCCCUCGGGUUGUAAAGCUCUUUUGUCCGGAAAGAAAGCAUCUGGUUAAUACCCGGGUGUUCUGACGGUACCGGAACGAAUAAGCACCGGCUAACUUC